RNAcentral lists this ribosomal RNA (301 nucleotides) under uncultured bacterium. Its description in RNAcentral is "partial 16S ribosomal RNA". It matches the Rfam family "Bacterial small subunit ribosomal RNA", at positions 509 to 809 of the family's 1533-position model. The record is from RNAcentral.
CAGCAGCCACGGUAAUACGGAGGGUGCAAGCGUUAAUCGGAAUUACUGGGCGUAAAGCGCACGCAGGCGGUUUGUUAAGUCAGAUGUGAAAUCCCCGAGCUUAACUUGGGAACUGCAUUUGAAACUGGCAAGCUAGAGUCUUGUAGAGGGGGGUAGAAUUCCAGGUGUAGCGGUGAAAUGCGUAGAGAUCUGGAGGAAUACCGGUGGCGAAGGCGGCCCCCUGGACAAAGACUGACGCUCAGGUGCGAAAGCGUGGGGAGCAAACAGGAUUAGAUACCCGAGUAGUCCCUGUCUCUUAUAA